This 207-nucleotide ribosomal RNA is filed under the name uncultured bacterium. RNAcentral's name for it is "partial 16S ribosomal RNA". It matches the Rfam family "Bacterial small subunit ribosomal RNA", at positions 142 to 334 of the family's 1533-position model. The record is from RNAcentral.
AAUAACCCUGCCGAAAGGCGGGCUAAUACUGGAUAGAGCGAUGGAAUCCGUAAUUGGGUUUUCGGGAAAGGGAGCUCGUAAGAGCCUUCGCUUUGGGAUGAGCCUGCGUCUCAUUAGCUAGUUGGUGGGGUAACGGCCCACCAAGGCUGUGAUGGGUAGCUGGUCUGAGAGGACGGACAGCCACACUGGGACUGAGACACGGCCCAG